Molecule: long non-coding RNA, 230 nt
Filed under: Elaeis guineensis (African oil palm)
Lineage: Eukaryota; Viridiplantae; Streptophyta; Magnoliopsida; Arecales; Arecaceae
Description: long non-coding RNA (EGUI_LNC079343)
Source: RNAcentral
GAGGAAAGAAGGAAAAUGAGGGUUGGAUAUGAUAUCACGCGUCAAAGUUUAAGUGGCGAUUUCAAUCCAAAUGAUAAUUUCACUGAAAUCAUCUAUCCAAGUAGCGAUUUCAAUUUUGUCUAUCUCAUCUUGUCAACUGAGAUCGAGAUGGAGUGAGUUGGCUGUGAAAUCGUCAUUUUAAGUGGUGAUUUCACGUAAGGAUAGUAGUUUUAAAAAUAAGUUGGGGGAGA